ACUAAAUAGAUACCCGGGUAGCCCACGCCGUAAACGAUGGAUACUAGCUGUUCGGAGCAAUCUGAGUGGCUAAAGCGAAAAGUGAUAAGUAUCCCACCUGGGGAGUACGCACGCAAGUGUGAAACUCAAAGGAAUUGACGGGGGCCCGCACAAGCGGUGGAGCAUGUGGUUUAAUUCGAUGAUACGCGAGGAACCUUACCAGGGCUUAAAUGUAGAUUGACAGGACUGGAAACAGUUUUUUCUUCGGACAAUUUACAAGGUGCUGCAUGGUUGUCGUCAGCUCGUGCCGUGAGGUGUCAGGUUAAGUCCUAUAACGAGCGCAACCCCUGUCGUUAGUUGCCAGCGAGUCAUGUCGGGAACUCUAACGAGACUGCCAGCGUAAACUGUGAGGAAGGUGGGGAUGACGUCAAAUCAUCACGGCCCUUACGUCCUGGGCCACACACGUGCUACAAUGGUAGGUACAGAGAGCAGCCACUGCGCGAGCAGGAGCGAAUCUACAAAACCUAUCUCAGUUCGG
Molecule: ribosomal RNA, 517 nt
Filed under: uncultured bacterium
Lineage: Bacteria
Description: bacterial SSU rRNA
Rfam family: Bacterial small subunit ribosomal RNA
Source: RNAcentral